RNAcentral lists this long non-coding RNA (447 nucleotides) under Equus asinus (donkey). RNAcentral's name for it is "lncRNA (ENSEASG00005026788.1)". Lineage: Eukaryota; Metazoa; Chordata; Mammalia; Perissodactyla; Equidae. The record is from RNAcentral.
AGCAGCUGUCUGAAGCCGGGGUGCAGGAGCAGGAGAGCACAGCGCCUCCAAGAGGAGCUGCUCCACCGACUCGCCUGGCUGCCGCGGGAGCACCUUUCUCUUAUUCCUGCAGAGUCCGCCCUAUCCUGGCCUGAGGGGCAGGCAAAAGAUCUAUGGUAGCCGGUCUAUAGACUGCCAAAGCUCUGUGGUGGCCUGUCCUGAAAAGGAUGUGUCUGGGAUUUGUGCAUGACCCUCUUCCCUCAAUAUCCAGGCGUUCAGCUGCAGAUGAGAAGCAACUCAGUGAAGUUUCAUGAUGCAGGCACAGCCGGAAAACCUGUCUCCAUGGCAACCCUAGGUUACCUCACCCAACAACAUUCAGAUGUUACUGACCACAGAAGCAUUUUUUCAAACGUGGAGCAAGCAUCAGCUAUGUCUACAUAGCCAAGAGUGUUUUUUUGAUGUUAUAUC